RNAcentral lists this ribosomal RNA (116 nucleotides) under Parcubacteria group bacterium. RNAcentral also lists the same sequence under 1 other name. The record is from RNAcentral.
UUGGACGGCCAUAGGGGCUUGGUUCACCCGAUCCCAUUCCGAACUCGGAAGUUAAGCAAGCCUCCGUUUCUAGCUGUACUGUACUUUUGUAUGGGAAACUAGGAAAGCUGUCCACC